AUUGAACGCUGGCGGCGUGGCUAAAGCAUGCAAGUCGAGCGAACCCGCAAGGGUGAGCGGCGGACGGGUUAGUAAUACGAUCGAACGUGCCCUGAGGCGGGGGAGUAGGCGUGGGAAACGUGCGCGUAAUACCCCACUGAUCUCUCCGGAGCAAAGGUUUAACCUACCUUGGGAGUCGGCGAUCGUCCUAUCAGCUAGUUGGCGGGGUAAAGGCCCACCAAGGCUAUGACGGGUAGCAGGUGNGAGAGCACGACCUGCAACAUCGGGACUGAGACACUGCCCGGACUCCUACGGGAGGCUGCAGCGACGAAUCUUCCGCAAUGGGCGCAAGCCUGACGGAGCGACGCCGCGUGUGGGAUGAAGCGCCUUCGGCGUGUAAACCACUGUCAGGGAACAGAACAA
Molecule: ribosomal RNA, 402 nt
Filed under: uncultured bacterium
Lineage: Bacteria
Description: bacterial SSU rRNA
Rfam family: Bacterial small subunit ribosomal RNA
Source: RNAcentral